GCUGGGUGCAGUGGUGAACACCUGUAAUCCCAGUGACUCGGGAGGCUGAGACAGGAGGAUCACAAGUUCAAAGCCAGUCCCAGCAAAAGUGAGGCAAUUCAGUGAGACCCUGUCGCUA
RNAcentral lists this small RNA (118 nucleotides) under Marmota monax (woodchuck). The record is from RNAcentral. Lineage: Eukaryota; Metazoa; Chordata; Mammalia; Rodentia; Sciuridae.